UCUUGGUCAUUUAGAGGAAGUAAAAGUCGUAACAAGGUCUCCGUAGGUGAACCUGCGGAGGGAUCAUUACCGAGUGAGGGCCUCCGGGUCCGACCUCUCCACCCAUUGCUGUAUCUCCACCUUACAAUUGUUGCCUCGGGGGCCCCCGGCGAGAGCCGACCCCCAGGCGCCCAAACAAAAAUAACCUCUGCAUCCCAGUCUUAGUCUGAGUUACAUUUAUGAAUUUAAAUAAAACUUUCAACAACGGAUCUCUUGGUUCUGGCAACGAUGAAGAACACAGCGAAAUGUGAUAAGUGAUGUGAAUUGCAGAAUUCCGUGAAUCAUCGAAUCUUUGAACGCACAUUGCGCCCCUCGGUAUUCCGGGGGGCAUGCCUGUCCGAGCGUCAUUACACCACUCAAGCCUGGCUUGGUCUUGGGCGCCGCGGUCUCCCGCGCGCCUCAAUGUCGUCGGCCGAUGCGUCCGUCUCCGAGCGUUGUGAUUUAUCAAACCGCUCGCGGGGUCGGGGGCCUCGCGCCGGGAAACCCACAUUUUUACAGGUUGACCUCGGAUCAGGUAGGGAUACCCGCUGAACUUAAGCAUAUCAAUAAGCGGAGGAA
This 597-nucleotide ribosomal RNA is filed under the name Microcyclospora sp. N3.3F1d. RNAcentral describes it as "eukaryotic LSU rRNA". The stretch from base 233 to 386 matches the Rfam family "5.8S ribosomal RNA". The record is from RNAcentral. Lineage: Eukaryota; Fungi; Ascomycota; Dothideomycetes; Capnodiales.